RNAcentral lists this ribosomal RNA (253 nucleotides) under uncultured bacterium. RNAcentral's name for it is "partial 16S ribosomal RNA". It matches the Rfam family "Bacterial small subunit ribosomal RNA", at positions 524 to 776 of the family's 1533-position model. The record is from RNAcentral.
UACGUAGGGUGCAAGCGUUAAUCGGAAUUACUGGGCGUAAAGCGUGCGCAGGCGGUGAUGUAAGACAGGUGUGAAAUCCCCGGGCUUAACCUGGGAAUUGCAUUUGAGACUGCUCUGCUCGGGUGCGGAAGAGGGAAGCGGAAUUUCCGGUGUAGCGGUGAAAUGCGUAGAUAUCGGAAGGAACACCAGUGGCGAAAGCGGCUUCCUGGUCCGACACCGACGUUCAGGCACGAAAGCGUGGGGAGCAAACAGG